CCACAUCCCCUGUGUCUGGAGGUCACCGAGAUGCGCACCCCAGCCAAGGUCUGAGGCAUCCAACACCAACUUGAUGGAGUGAGGGGUUGUUGAACGGAACCCCCUCCAGGACUAUCCUGGAGUCGGUCCACCAUCGCAGCGAGUAGGCCCAGAGAGCAGCGUGUGGCCUGAAGCACCUUGACAUUCCUUUGGACUUGAGACCUGGAGCUGCCCUUGAUGAGCCAGUCGUCAAGGGCCCAGCCAUCGAAGGGCAGGUCUGCUGAGCCGGUGGACAACCCAGAGAGGAGCAGCCGAGAUAGCGGAAG
Mauremys reevesii (Reeves's turtle) is the source of this 305-nucleotide long non-coding RNA. RefSeq lists it as uncharacterized. The record is from RefSeq and is a predicted model, not a curated record. The transcript has 3 exons. Lineage: Eukaryota; Metazoa; Chordata; Testudines; Geoemydidae.